Molecule: ribosomal RNA, 418 nt
Filed under: Salmonella enterica
Lineage: Bacteria; Pseudomonadati; Pseudomonadota; Gammaproteobacteria; Enterobacterales; Enterobacteriaceae
Description: partial 23S ribosomal RNA
Rfam family: Bacterial large subunit ribosomal RNA
Source: RNAcentral
CCGAACCGACUAAUGUUGAAAAAUUAGCGGAUGACCUGUGGCUGGGGGUGAAAGGCCAAUCAAACCGGGAGAUAGCUGGUUCUCCCCGAAAGCUAUUUAGGUAGCGCCUCGUGAAUUCAUCUCCGGGGGUAGAGCACUGUUUCGGCUAGGGGGCCAUCCCGGCUUACCAACCCGAUGCAAACUGCGAAUACCGGAGAAUGUUAUCACGGGAGACACACGGCGGGUGCUAACGUCCGUCGUGAAGAGGGAAACAACCCAGACCGCCAGCUAAGGUCCCAAAGUCAUGGUUAAGUGGGAAACGAUGUGGGAAGGCCCAGACAGCCAGGAUGUUGGCUUAGAAGCAGCCAUCAUUUAAAGAAAGCGUAAUAGCUCACUGGUCGAGUCGGCCUGCGCGGAAGAUGUAACGGGGCUAAACCAU